AGUCCUACGGGACGCAGCAGUGGGGAAUAUUGGGCAAUGGGCGCAAGCCUGACCCAGCAACGCCGCGUGAAGGAAGAAGGCUUUCGGGUUGUAAACUUCUUUUCUCAGGGACGAAGCAAGUGACGGUACCUGAGGAAUAAGCCACGGCUAACUACGUGCCAGCAGCCGCGGUAAUACGUAGGUGGCAAGCGUUAUCCGGAUUUAUUGGGGGUAAAGGGCGUGUAGGCGGGGGCGCAAGCCAGAUGUGAAAAC
This 252-nucleotide ribosomal RNA is filed under the name uncultured bacterium. RNAcentral's name for it is "partial 16S ribosomal RNA". It matches the Rfam family "Bacterial small subunit ribosomal RNA", at positions 335 to 601 of the family's 1533-position model. The record is from RNAcentral.